Long non-coding RNA from Cercocebus atys (sooty mangabey), 1345 nucleotides. RefSeq lists it as uncharacterized. The record is from RefSeq and is a predicted model, not a curated record. Lineage: Eukaryota; Metazoa; Chordata; Mammalia; Primates; Cercopithecidae. The transcript is spliced from 2 exons.
CUGCUCCGCCCCUCGCGUCGCGGCCCCGCCCCCGCGGCCGCUGCGCGCCGGACGGGGCCAACCAGGGCGUCAGGGUCCUGGGGACGCCGCCUCAAGGCCGCGGCGGCGAUGAGCUCCGAGCGGGACACUGAGCGGCCCGAACGCGCAAGAUAAGCACGGACUGAACUAGGUACACGUACCUGCCGGGGACGCACUGACCGAGGUGCGGACGGCGGUACCAGGACAAGUAAAGCCGCGAACACUCGGACCUAAGAACUUGACAGGUACACCCUGCCUGAUGAAGCUACGGCCAGGUGCGCAUCGAGUGAAUCAGGAUGAGAACCUACUUCUUCAUAAAGAGAAUUUGGAGGGAGCUUUUUGUUCUGUGGGGACAACAUCUGGAUUUGAAUACAUCCAUGCUCAAAAGGAGAUUUCUCAUAAUGGACCCAACUGAAAGCACUCAGAGUACAAGGACCGGUGAGCUUUCAAAAGGAGACACUUCAGGAGACUUGCCAGGGGCCCUCGUAUCCCCGGCAGCGCGAGUUUUGGAGGUCAGUGGAGGGCUCUCGCGUCAGGCAUGUAACUUUCAUACUCAAAUACUUAUCUUCAUCCUCUACCCCUCACCCCCACUGCAGAAACUUGGGGCUUGAAUUCAUUUAAAAACAUUUGUGGUUUCAGAAGUCUCCUUUUUAUUAUAAAGCUGCCAAGAUCUUAGAAUGAAAGGCAUUUUUAGAGAUGAGAAAGAAGGAAGCCAGGUCAAGGCCGGCCUGGCUCUCAGCCGUGGGUCUGUAAAGGUGACACGUGGGACAUGGCCACCUGCAGACCCUGCAGGCAGCUGGGCGGAGGCACCCGCAGGGCCCUGGGUUUGAAUCCCUGCUCUGCCAGUCAUUUCCACGGUGAUCUUGAGGGAAGUUGUGUAACCUCUGGGCCCCGCGACGCCCCUUCCUGGAGCCGGGAGCUGGAACGAAGUCCCCUGGAGCCCUGACAUCAGAGGUGACGCUACUCUUCGCAGGCAAUGACUCGGCAGAAUGUGAUGCCACUCCCUAACCCGCGUCCGGGCUGACAGGGUGUGUGCCGCCUCCCACCAGGUGGUCUGGUUGCUUUGAUGGUCCUCCUAACAUCCCUGCACCCCAGAGCCCUCAGUGCUGGCCAGACCUUCACUCACUCCUCGGUUGCAACCCCGUUCUCAUAUAGCGGGUCUCACAGGCUGGCCUAUGGCGCCCCCUGCUGGUGACUGCAGGGAGAAGGGUGCCCUAAGUCAAAGGAAGUCCUUCCUGGGGUCUAAUCUCUACCUUUUGCCUGAUGAGGCAGCUGAGGUGGCUGGCUUUCUCCUCCACCCCAGAAAAUAAAGUCAUAUGGAGUCCAA